RNAcentral lists this ribosomal RNA (3060 nucleotides) under Triticum aestivum (bread wheat). RNAcentral describes it as "partial small subunit ribosomal RNA". Lineage: Eukaryota; Viridiplantae; Streptophyta; Magnoliopsida; Poales; Poaceae. The record is from RNAcentral.
AUGCGCCCCGCGGCCUCGAAGGUGGCCGGGAAGGAGAAGAGCAGGAGGAAGGGCGGCGGCGCCGGCGCCGGAGAGCAUCUCCUCACCGACCGCGUCCUCUCCCUCCGCGCCCGCCUGCACGACGCCCUCUCCCUCGGCCUCGCCAGGUCUGAUGGCCACGGUGCAAAAAAAUGGCAGUCUACUGAUGCUGGAAUUCAGUCUCACGCGAUCAAAGCAGUGACUGCUUUUCUCGGUUGUUUGUCAACUGAAAUGCUGCGGCUUCCUCCUAUAAAGGAGUCGAUUUCGGAUAUUCUCGUACUCUUGGAAGGUGUUCUUCAGACAAAGAACGUUUCAGUUCUGAUCCAAGCAGCAGAUGUGAGCUCAAAGUUAGUUUCCAGCAUAGGCAAUUCGAUUCGGCAAUACCCAAUUUUGGAGAUUGUUUCGCCCCUCUCAUGCCAGUUGUCGGCACACCAGUUACCUACAGCUAUCUCAUGUGCAAGGGCGAUGAAUUGCAUAUUGAAUAGCCUAGUGACGGCGAGAGGUUCAACUCAUGCAGAAAUUUUGGAAACCUUGGAGAGAACCAAUGCAGUUGCAAGUAUUGUUUCAGCUCUGCAGAGUUACACUCCUGAUGUCCAUCCACUGAGUUAUCUGACCGAGAUGAUAUCACUGCUAAGAACCAUACUGUGGAUUUGGCCUUCCUCAAGAUACCAUGUAUGGAGUAAUGGCAACCUGAUGGGGAAGUUAGCACAUUACUGUCUUGCCACUGAAACAACGGUUGUUGCUAAAGUUCUUAGGCUGUAUGCUGCUUUAGCUUUAUGUGGCCAUGGAGCUAUGAUCCUUCUCAAGAACGAAGUCUUAAUGGCUAAGAUUUGUGAGCUCGUGGGAACGUCCCAUCCGAGUAGUACUAGGAUUGAAGCGUUCAAACUCUGCCAUAUUCUUUUGAGAUCUUCGAAGGGCUGUAGUCAGUUAAUGACUUCACGCUGCCAGCCUAUUGUUGAAGGCAUAAUCGAUGCAAUGCGUGCAAAGGAUGAUAAAUUGUUAGUAACAGAGGGGUGUCGUACUGCACUGCUGGUGCUCCGUUAUGCUGGGAAUCAUCACCAAUGCUUUUGGUCUAAUGCCAUUGAUAAAGUAUUAUAUAGCAUUCUUACCGGUCGCUGCCUCUCCUCACAUCAAAGUGAUAAAGUAUUGUGCGAUGAUGAGCUAUUUGAUAUGGUUUCCAAAAACUUCAUGGAUAUACAUCCAUACGUCUGGGAUAUACUUGGAUAUCUAGUGGUGCAUUGCACUGAGGAUCACCAUCCUGUAAGGAAAGGGAAAGGUCAUAGCUUGCACGCACUGAUAUCUUGUGCUUGCUUGCUGGCCACAGAUGUUAUGCGCAAAAGCAGCCCCAUGACAUUAUCCAAAGAUGUGCAGGAGCCGGCUUUGAGGGCAGUUCUGAUGAUGCUUCUCUCUCCCAAUGGAUAUAUUCAGUAUGAGGCAAGUUUUAAACUUUCAGAAGGUCUUCCAUAUUUGGGUGACGGCUAUUUGAACGUUCUGUUGUCAUCAUUAGAAUCAAAUACUACGAGAAGUGUUGCCACAUCUUUUGACAGUUUCAAAAUUAUGACCAACCUCAUGAACCUCGCAUGUUUGGUGCUGUCACGACCUUACCAUAAUCUCCUUAACAAGAGGAAUCCUAUUGAUGUGUUGUCCAUCAUUAUCAAGGAAUGUCUCCACAAUAAUAUACAUAUUACGAGGUCAAAAGUCACUUCCCAUCUGCAUUUUUGUUUUGAAGGAAGUUCAUGCUGUUGCUAUCUCGGUGAAGAGUGGGAGGGUGAAAACAUAGUCUUAUUCUACGGUCUUGUUGGGCUGUUUAAUCUUCUGAGGAGCACUACUUUAGUUUGUGUUCAGUGUAAGAGGAAGUUGGAUGUUGGGAUUCUGUGCCAUGACUGCAGAGAUCAGUAUACCGAAGAUUUUCUUAUAGUUCUUCAACGUGCUCUAAGUCAAAGCUUGAGUUCUGGACCGAAGCUCUAUAUUGCACACAUCCUGAGUUUGUUUGGCCUCUGCGGUUCUCCAAGCAAGUUGGGCGGGAAGAUGAGUAGUGCAUUAGAUAAUAACGAUCUAGCUGAUCUGGAACUUUUGCUUUCAGAUGGUGAAUCUAUAAAUACUCACACAGCCAUCAUAUCAGCAAGGUGUCCUAAGCUGUUGCCAUCUGGAAAAUGUCUACUUGGCAGUGACGAAAAAGUUAAAGAUGAAUGGGGAAAAUCAGUGUACCGAGUUCAAAUGUCUGAUCGUGUAGAUAGCCACGCCUUGAAGAAGAUUUUGGAGUACACAUAUACUGGUUUUGUGAUGGUAGGUGAUGACAUUGUUAAACCAGUAAGGACACUUGCGAAGUAUUGUCACCUGAAACCAUUGGCAGAAAUGCUUCAGAAAGAGCAACCCAGAUGGAACUCCGAUUAUACCAGAUAUGAUCUUACUGUUGCACUUGGACCUGUUGAGCAUUCAUUCUCGGACAUAAUUUUGGAGGCUCAGUCAAACGAGGAAAUGAAGUGUGACCAUGGGCCGUGCCAAUUGUCAACCCCGCACGUUCAUAGCCAUAAGACCGUGCUGAUCAUGAGCUGCGAUUACCUCCGGGCAUUAUUUCGAUCCGGGAUGCACGAGAGCUUCUCGGACGUCAUCAGGGUUCCGCUCGGGUGGCAAGCGCUGGACAAACUAGUCCACUGGUUCUACUCAGGCGAGCUGCCCAGUGUCGCCCUCGACUGCCGGUGGAACAACCUGAGCAGCGACGAGCAGCGCUCCCACCUGAACGCCUACGCGGAGCUGUCGUCGCUGGCAGAGUUCUGGUUCCUGGAGGGGGUGAAGGAGGAGAGCCUGUCGGCGGCCUCGUCCCUCCUGGGCUCGAGCACGAGCGCCGCCGCGGUCGAGUUCGUCGCGUUCGCUGCCAACCUGGGCCAGUGGGAGAUGGUCGAGGCCGGCGUCCGCAGCGUGGCGCACCUGUACCCCCGGCUGCGGGACUCCGGUCGGCUGGAGCGGCUCGACGAGGAGCUGCUCAACAUGCUGCGGACCGAGUACGUCCGGUACUCGCAGCACGGGGGCGGAGGUAACUGA